AUCUUAGUGCACGGGCUUUAACGUUGACAGUGAGGAGCAAUCCGAGUCACGUUUUUUGCUGUUUGAAAACUGAAACUAUGACCACUUCAGUUGGUCUUCGGAUCGGCUGGGAAUCUUUGGAAUAUUACUCUAUGGU
Small nuclear RNA from Exophiala aquamarina CBS 119918, 136 nucleotides. It matches the Rfam family "U4 spliceosomal RNA". Rfam says of the family: U4 small nuclear RNA (U4 snRNA) is a component of the major U2-dependent spliceosome. The record is from Rfam. NCBI's taxonomy places the organism in Eukaryota, Fungi, Ascomycota, Eurotiomycetes, Chaetothyriales, Herpotrichiellaceae.